Molecule: non-coding RNA, 167 nt
Filed under: unclassified sequences
Description: RAGATH-9 RNA
Rfam family: RAGATH-9 RNA
About the family: RNA motif Associated with Genes Associated with Twister and Hammerhead ribozymes (RAGATH).
Source: Rfam by way of RNAcentral
CCAAUCAACCCAAAAGAACUGUAAAUAUACCAGAACCCUAAUGGAAGUUCGUAAGAACUAGAGUACAAUGGCUAUACAACGGCAAUCUAUAUAUCUAUAGAUAAAAGGAGAGAAGGAUAGGGGUUAUCUGUGAAAUAAGAGAUAUGAAUACACAGAGCAGUUCUUUU